AACAAACUCAAUGAUAAACGGUAUGCUCUCUCUUUUAUACCUCAGGCUAUCAGACAGCACAACAAACACUUUAAACGUACAUUUUUAUAAAUUCUGUACUGUAUUUAUGGUCUAUUUGUAUUGUAUUUAUGCUCUAUCUUUUUUGGGC
Sander lucioperca (pikeperch) is the source of this 148-nucleotide long non-coding RNA. RefSeq lists it as uncharacterized. The transcript is spliced from 3 exons. Lineage: Eukaryota; Metazoa; Chordata; Actinopteri; Perciformes; Percidae. The record is from RefSeq and is a predicted model, not a curated record.